UACGGAGGGUGCGAGCGUUGUCCGGAAUCACUGGGCGUAAAGGGCGCGUAGGCGGCGCGGGUAGUCAUCGGUGAAAGUUCAGGGCUCAACUCUGAAUCGGCCGGUGAUACUCCCGUGCUCGAGCACUGUAGAGGCAGGUGGAAUUCCGGGUGUAGCGGUGGAAUGCGUAGAGAUCCGGAAGAACACCGGUGGCGAAGGCGGCCUGCUGGGCAGUAGCUGACGCUGAGGCGCGACAGCGUGGGGAGCAAACAGG
This 253-nucleotide ribosomal RNA is filed under the name uncultured bacterium. RNAcentral describes it as "partial 16S ribosomal RNA". It matches the Rfam family "Bacterial small subunit ribosomal RNA", at positions 524 to 776 of the family's 1533-position model. The record is from RNAcentral.